Molecule: unclassified non-coding RNA, 220 nt
Filed under: Hevea brasiliensis (rubber tree)
Lineage: Eukaryota; Viridiplantae; Streptophyta; Magnoliopsida; Malpighiales; Euphorbiaceae
Source: RNAcentral
GCAAAUUGGAAAGCAACAACGAAGUCAGGAUAAAAGAUGACAGAAACAUAUAAAGAACUUGUGUUGGUAAAUUUUUUAUCUGGAUCAGUACUUUGUUCGGUUUGUAUUUUGGUAGUCUUCCGAAGCUCCCAGUCAAAUCAUUUUCUGGAACAUGUCUGAGCUAUCUGAGCUUCCUCAAGAAGAGGAGUACGCGAUUCAGAGGCCAAAGCCUCAUUCCAAG